RNAcentral lists this ribosomal RNA (467 nucleotides) under uncultured bacterium. Its description in RNAcentral is "partial 16S ribosomal RNA". It matches the Rfam family "Bacterial small subunit ribosomal RNA", at positions 28 to 507 of the family's 1533-position model. The record is from RNAcentral.
GAUGAACGCUGACAGAAUGCUUAACACAUGCAAGUCAACUUGAAUUUGGGUUUUUAACUUAGGUUUGGGUGGCGGACGGGUGAGUAACGCGUAAAGAACUUGCCUCACAGCUAGGGACAACAUUUGGAAACGAAUGCUAAUACCUAAUAUUAUGAUAAUAGGGCAUCCUAUAAUUAUGAAAGCUAUAAGCGCUGUGAGAGAGCUUUGCGUCCCAUUAGCUAGUUGGAGAGGUAACGGCUCACCAAGGCGAUGGUGGGUAGCCGGCCUGAGAGGGUGAUCGGCCACAAGGGGACUGAGACACGGCCCUUACUCCUACGGGAGGCAGCAGUGGGGAAUAUUGGACAAUGGACCAAGAGUCUGAUCCAGCAAUUCUGUGUGCACGAUGAAGUUUUUCGGAAUGUAAAGUGCUUUCAGUUGGGAAGAAAGAAAUGACGGUACCAACAGAAGAAGUGACGGCUAAAUACGUG